CAAUAAUCACUUAAUUACCAUAUUUUCAAUUCAUAAUUUUUUCAAAUCCAACAAAAAUAGAAAAAACAAACCAGAAAUAAAUUAAACUGACCCACACCACACCACGACACCUAACCCAUGGCAUACUUUUGGGUCCAGCUUCGAGCCGUGGUCUCAUAUUUGCUCCUAUCGGUCUUAUACAUAUGGGCAAUCUCAGGGACCAAAGGGUCAUCGGGGUUAGGGUCUGUCAAUAAUGAGCAUAUCGACAGCAAAACCUAAUAAUAAUACAAAAAAAUGUCAACCUACUUUAUUUUUUUUUUAAUCCAUAAUAACAAUAUACUUACACAUUUAUUUUAAUUUUUAAUCACACUUUCUUGCUUGAUAAUAGCAAUAUGUAACUCAUAAUUGCAUUGUACAUACAAUUGCAACAUGCUUGCAACUUUACUCGAGUUAUCAAUGAUUUUAUGAUACGAAAUAUUCAAAUUAUCUUUACAACCCUUUUAACUCUUUUUUUUUUAAAAAGAGUGAGUUGUAAAAAAGUUUUUGAACCUUUUUAAACCCUUUUAUGAAUCAUUCUUUUUAAAGAUUUUUACUUACGUUUUAGCAUUUUUUAACCUUUUGCUUAUGUUUUUUCAACCUUACUAGGUUGUAAAAAAGUUUUAAAAUGCUUGUAAAAAAAUUGUAAAAAAUCUAAAAAGUUAUAUAAAAUAGUUUUAAAUGGUUGAAAAUAAGGUUAUAAAAAAAAUGUUGUAAAAAAUUUUAAAAAAAAAAACUGUGUAAAAAGUCUAAAAAUUUAUAAAAAAGAUGUAAAAGAAGUGUUUUUGUUAAAAAAAUAUUGUAAAAUAAGUUUAAAAAAUUGUGUGAAAAGUCAAAAAAUUUAAAUAGAAAAAAGUUUAAAAAAGGGUUGUAAAAAAGUUUACAAAUUCAUUAUAGUACAGUAUUUAAAAAAAAAAUUAAGACUUUGCACAAACUUUUUAUAGACUUUUUAUAACUUAUUUUAUAAAUUAUUUCAAAACCUUUUAUAAAAAAAAAUACAACUCUUUAACUAAUUUUUACAACUUUUUUUAAAACGAUUUUUUUACUAUUUAAACAUUUUUAACUAUUUUUAAACUUGAUUUAAACCAUUUUUGAACUAUUUUUACAACCUUUUAACUCUUUUAUAUAAAAGAGUAAACUGUAAAAAACUUUUUGAAACUUACUAAACCUCUAGAAAAAUCAUCGUUUUUAAACACUUUUACUUACAUUUCAACAUUUUUCAACCUUUUGCUUACGUUUUUUCAACCUUCAUAGGUUGUAAAAAAAAGUUUAAAAAGGUUGUAAUUUUUUUUUAAAAGCCGUAAAAAAUAUUGUAAAACAAGUUUAAAAAACUGCGUAAAAAGUCUAAAAAUUUAUAAAAAAGUUAAAAAGGUUGUAAAAAAGUUUUCUUUUUAUUUUUUAAAGUUUGUAAAAGAAGUCUACAAAAAUUUUGUGCAAAAAGUCGUUUAAAUUUGUAAAAAAAGAAUAAUUUUGAGACAAUUUUGUAAAAAAGACUAUAAACCAAAUUUGUAGAAAAGUUUAAAACUUGGGCCGAAAGUGUAAAUAGGUAAAUGAUUUGGUAAACUUGUAAAAGCAGGUCAAAACAAAUAAACCCUAAGUUCAUUACCAUCUUACACAAUAAAUGUGAUUUGUUAGCAAAUUGAACACAAUUUAAAUAGUUUGUUUCAUAAAAUCAGUGAGAACCCUUUUUACUCAUAAUAACACACUCAAAAUUCUUUAUUGGUGAGUAGGUUUCUAUUAUAGGUUAAAAAAAUGCAUUGCUAUUAUUGCUUGGUUGUGAUUCAUUGGGUAGAUGGUGACAAAAAAUGGAAAGAGCCCACAAAAUAGAAAAAUAUCAUGAAAUAGGGCCCCACUUACCUUGGAAAUGGUGAGAGCUGGGCUCCAUUGUUCCUUCAAAAUAUCAAGGCAAAUGCUUCCAUUGCUGUUGAUGUUUGGGUGGAAAACCUUUGUCCUGAAAGCUACCUAUCAAAGGACAUAAAUGUAACAAUGGUGAAAAGGGCAUUCACGUCUUUUGCACAUACAAUAGAGACAGAAAACAAGUCUCUAUCACAAUAAUUGCAACUUUUGUUUUAUCCAAUGCGCGUCUCUAAGUCAAGCACAGUACAACCUGUUCUGUUCUGUUAUGUCUAGUGAGACAUGCUCUAUUAGAGAAAAUUGACAAAUCUUGAAAAAUCAAAAUUAUUUGAGGAUAUAAAACAAAGAUGAUUACCUUAGGUGGCUUAAAUGGAUAAUCUGGUGGAAAAUGAAUAGUAACUAGAAACACUCCACCAGAAUAAGGACUAUCAGGAGGACCCAUAAUGGUUGCUUGCCAAUGAAACAUGUCUUCAGCCACAGGGCCUAAAAUCCCAUUACACAAUUAAGGGAUUUCAAUAAAGAUCCACAUGUAUAACUCACAUUCAUAAAAUUUUCAAUUAAGAACAUAUUAUUUACUUAAUAGUUAACACUCAUUGUUCUUUAAUAAAUCAGGUUUUGUACAUUCUACUUGUGAUUUGCCUCUGAACUUUCAGCCCAGUGAAAGAGACAGCUUACUUAUCAAGUUAUCAUCAUUUCAAUUUUCAUGAAAGAGACAGCUAAUUUAGGGAUAUCCAAUAAUUGAAAAAAACUCAAACUCCUGCUACUAAAAUUUUCUAACCACCAUUCCAGAAAAGUCUCUGAUUACAUUUAUAAACCCUAAUCAAGGUGGAUUGGGAGGAUCUCAUCUAGAAACUAAACAUAAAGAGGGUGAUUGGAUUCUGUAAUCAUUUUAAACCUCAAAGUUGAACUAAAAAGUUAGUUACUCCGCAGCUUUUAUCAACAAACUUAUACAUCAAUAUCCUUCACCUACCUUCAUAAAAAAGCAGCUUAUUUACCUAACGAUCAAACCAUGGAUCCCUAAUUCUCAACCUAAAUGGAUAAUCGGGAGCAUAAAGCUACGUACAUAACAAAUAUAAACAUAUAGGACACGAAUCAAUAUCCAAAACUUCACAAAGCCGCUAAAAUCAGGAUCUAAACAGAUCGAUAGCGAUGCAAUACCUGCGCUGCAAGAGGUGGGAGGAUCUUUCUGAAGAUCCUUGAGUUCUUUCAAGAUCCGCUUCGAAGCCAUCACUGAUCAGGACAAGGAAUUC
RNAcentral lists this long non-coding RNA (3119 nucleotides) under Lactuca sativa (garden lettuce). Its description in RNAcentral is "long non-coding RNA (LSAT_LNC006741)". The record is from RNAcentral. Lineage: Eukaryota; Viridiplantae; Streptophyta; Magnoliopsida; Asterales; Asteraceae.